UUCCAUCUCUUCCCAUUUCUUUUUCCUUUUUGCAUCUCCCUCCUCAUUUUUUUCCCUUUUCUACUUCUCCCACUUUUUCCCCUUUUCCAUCUCUCCCUUUCUUUCUCUCCUCCAUCUCUCUCCCUUUUUCCACUUUUUUCCAUCUCUCCCCAUUUUUUCCUUUCUCCAUCUCUCUCCCUUAAUAUUUCCCUUUCCCAUCUCUCCCCAUCUCUCCUCAUUUUUUCCCCUUUUCCAUCUCCCCCUUUUUUCCCUUUUCCAUCUCUCCCCAUUUCUUUUUCCCUUCUCCAUCCCUCCCCAUUUCUUUCCCAUUUCUCUCCCUCUUCCAUCUCUCCAUUUUUUCCCUUCUCCAUCUCUCUCCCUUUAUAUUUCCCUUUUCCAUCUCUCCCCAUUUCUUUUUCCCUUUUCCACCUCUCCCAAUUUUUCCCCUUUUCCAUCUCCCCCUUUCUUUCCCUUUCCAUCUCUCUCUUUAUUUUUCCCUUUUCCAUCUCUCCCCAUUUCUGUUUCCCUCCUCCAUCUCCCUCCAUUUUUUCCCUUUCCCAUUUUUUCCCCAUCUCUCCCCAUUUUUUCCCCCCGGUACCCCUGUCCCCCCAGGUGUCCCGGAUAGCCGCCUACGCCUUCAGCGCCCUCUCCCAGAUCCGCGUGGAUGCGAAAGAAGAGCUGGUUGUACAGUUUGGCAUCCCCUGAGCCCCCCCCGCGGCACCCCCGCCCCGGGGGCUGGCUUUUUUGGUUUGGUUUUGGUUUGGUUUUCCCUCUUUUUGGCUUUAUUUCCCCCCCCCCGUGGCACCUCGCCCUUGUACAGACGCCCGGUUCACCGCUGCCACCCCAAAGCUUCGUCCCCACUGCUUGGGGGGGGGGGGCAGUGGGGAGGGGGCUGCGACCCCCCCACGGCCCCACUGCACCCGGGGAGCCCACAGCAGGGGUCUUGGGGGGGGGGGGGGGGGGGGGGGCACCCCCCCCCGGGGGGGGGGUUUCCCAUCCCCACACACUUGGGGGCUGCCAGCAGGCGCUGUAGGGUGGGGGGCAGCCCCCACAGCUCCCCCAGCCCCACACAUAGGCCGGGUGCAGCCCUCGGCUGGGAGAGGGGCGGUUUGUGGGGUGGAGAUAUGGGGGUGUGGGGUGGGGGGGGGGGUGAGGGGGCCCCCUGCCCAUACACACGCCUUUGCCCCUACCCGUACCCGUAUUGGGGUGUAUGUCCAUAUAUCCACUCCCCUGCCUGUCCCUGUACCCAGACCCAUUCCCUGUACCCAUACCUGUACCCCCUCCCCUGCCUGUACCCUUACCAGUACCCCUGCCCAUACUGGUACCCGUACCCCCUCCCAUACCCAUACCCCUUCCUCUGCCCAUACUCACGUCUGUACACAUGCCUGUACCCAUACCCGUACCCAAUUCCUGCACCAUACCCGUACCUGUACCCAUACCUGUACCCCUACCUGUACCCAUUCCCCAUACCCGUACCCAUACACUUACCCCCUCCCCUACCUGUACCCAUAC
This 1491-nucleotide long non-coding RNA is filed under the name Anas platyrhynchos platyrhynchos (common mallard). RNAcentral's name for it is "lncRNA (ENSAPLG00000021306.1)". Lineage: Eukaryota; Metazoa; Chordata; Aves; Anseriformes; Anatidae. The record is from RNAcentral.